CCUACGGGAGGCAGCAGUGGGGAAUCUUGCGCAAUGGGCGAAAGCCUGACGCAGCCAUGCCGCGUGAAUGAUGAAGGUCUUAGGAUUGUAAAAUUCUUUCACCGGGGACGAUAAUGACGGUACCCGGAGAAGAAGCCCCGGCUAACUUCGUGCCAGCAGCCGCGGUAAUACGAAGGGGGCUAGCGUUGCUCGGAAUUACUGGGCGUAAAGGGAGCGUAGGCGGAUAGUUUAGUCAGAGGUGAAAGCCCAGGGCUCAACCUUGGAAUUGCCUUUGAUACUGGCUAUCUUGAGUGUGGGAGAGGUAUGUGGAACUCCGAGUGUAGAGGUGAAAUUCGUAGAUAUUCGGAAGAACACCAGUGGCGAAGGCGACAUACUGGCCCAUUACUGACGCUGAGGCUCGAAAGCGUGGGGAGCAAACAGGAUUAGAUACCCUGGUAGUCCACGCUGUAAACGAUGAGUGCUAGUUGUCGGCAUGCAUGCAUGUCGGUGACGCAGCUACGACAUAAGACGACGUCCGCCGUCGGGGUAGGUACGGUCGGCGAAGUAAGUUAAACGUUAACGAAAGUAAGUUAGUUAGUACGNGNGAGACGCGACGACGACGACGACGGAGGAGGAG
This 616-nucleotide ribosomal RNA is filed under the name uncultured bacterium. RNAcentral's name for it is "bacterial SSU rRNA". The stretch from base 1 to 519 matches the Rfam family "Bacterial small subunit ribosomal RNA", at positions 338 to 873 of the family's 1533-position model. The record is from RNAcentral.